UAAACCAACAAAUAAAAUCAUUAAAACAUGUAUAAAUUAAUAAUAGAAUAUAUACUUAUGUUACUUCUUUGGAUAGUGUCUGUCAUAAAUUAUUAUAGGAAGUUAAGAGGAGCAAUGAUCAGUGUGGAUUUAUAACAAAAGGAUUUAGGUAGGAUAUGAGAUUUGAACUUAACCUUGAAGAAUAAAUCAGAUAUUAAAAUCUUGGUAGAAAAUAAGAAGACGAAGAAAAGCUUAGAUAUGGAGUUAUUCUGAACAUGCUGACUGCUAGGAGAGUAUAUGUUGGGGAGUUACAGAAAAUAAAAUUAAGAUAAAGUCAGAACAGUGGAGGGUUUUCAGUAAACACCAAAAGAAGGCGUUGGACUUGAUUCCUUAGUCAAAAGAUAUUAAGAUUUAGAACUGGAAAAGAUCUCAGAGACCACCUAGGCCAAAUACCCUAUUUUACAGAAAAGAAAACAAUGAGUUAAAGUAAUUUUCUCAAGGUUACACAGGCAGUAAGUUACUGAGCCUGGAUUCAAACUCAGAUCCUCUGAAUCUGAAGCUAGUACUUUCCAAUCACAUUCUAAAGCAGGAAUGACUUGAUAAGAGUCAUGUAGAUGGAAGAUUAAUUUAUUAGUUGUAUUUUGAGGUAAUAGAAUUGAGGAGAAACUAGGAGUUUGGAGAUCAAUUAGGGUCUAUUAAGAAAUUUAGUCCCCAAAUGAUGAAUAUCUUCCUGGACAAAAGAUGUAGCUGUAGAAAUAAAGAAGGAAAGAAGCUGAGAAAGAAGUCUGGGUCCAAGUAGAUGUAUGUGGUGGAGGAGUGGAUGGAAUCAAAGAUAAGUGCCAACUUUUACAUUUUGAGACUGCAUGUUUAAGAUAAUGGUGGGAUUAAUGGUGGUACUCUAACAAAAGGGAGAAAAAGAUAGGGAACACCACUACAGCAGGAAUGUAAAGGAGAAUGAUGCCUUUUUCUUUAUUUUCUAGAGAUGGAAGUAAGAAGUUGGAACUAUGAUUUCACCAUUACAAGGAUUUCCAGGACAAGUGCAGCUGAGAGAUGUGCCAAGCCUGGAAUGGUGCCCAGACCCACUGGGGCUGAGGGCCAGUUGUUCAACAAGAAGCCUCUCAUGCUGGGAGGUCAGACAGCAUGA
This 1123-nucleotide long non-coding RNA is filed under the name Monodelphis domestica (gray short-tailed opossum). RNAcentral's name for it is "lncRNA (ENSMODG00000038829.1)". The record is from RNAcentral. Lineage: Eukaryota; Metazoa; Chordata; Mammalia; Didelphimorphia; Didelphidae.